CGGGCAUAUGUCUGAUCUCAGCGGGGAGAAGAAGAUGUGGAAGGAGGAGUAUGAUGUUCAUUUCCACUUUCUGCUCGAACUUCUGGUUCUUUCUUUUCAGAUUCAGUUCCAUUCUGUUGUGUUGGUUCAGCAUCUGUCCUCCUUUACUGUUGCUCACACCUCCCACUUCUGAUGAGAUCCUGGACAGAGAAGAAUGGAGCCUAACAAACUUCACCUCCUAAGCUGAGAGAUGGUGCAUGUAAUAAUAAAUUCCACUGCUCUUCUCGAAGUUACUCUA
Pygocentrus nattereri (red-bellied piranha) is the source of this 277-nucleotide long non-coding RNA. RefSeq lists it as uncharacterized. The transcript is spliced from 2 exons. The record is from RefSeq and is a predicted model, not a curated record. NCBI's taxonomy places the organism in Eukaryota, Metazoa, Chordata, Actinopteri, Characiformes, Serrasalmidae.